Molecule: long non-coding RNA, 258 nt
Filed under: Ananas comosus (pineapple)
Lineage: Eukaryota; Viridiplantae; Streptophyta; Magnoliopsida; Poales; Bromeliaceae
Description: long non-coding RNA (ACOM_LNC000464)
Source: RNAcentral
UUUUGUUCUUAUACAUUUAAAUAUUAUAAAUUCUUUUUUUGAGAUAAUGGUAACAUGCUAAUGUUUCGAUCAUUUUUUAAUAAAAAUAAACUUAGCUGAAAAUGUGAAGCAACUAGACUUCAACUUUAGAACCUCGGGUACAAACUUUCAAGCUCUUUACUAUCUAUGUUAGGAAUGAUCGAUAACAGUAUAAAAAUAUUCGAUCCGAUAUUGUUAUGCUUAUAUAAAAUAACUGUCACAUAGAAGGCUUUCUCAAUG